AUUGAACGCUGGCGGCAUGCCUUACACAUGCAAGUCGAACGGCAGCACGGGAGCAAUCCUGGUGGCGAGUGGCGAACGGGUGAGUAAUAUAUCGGAACGUGCCCGGUCGUGGGGGAUAACGUAGCGAAAGCUACGCUAAUACCGCAUACUAUCUAUGGAUGAAAGCGGGGGAUCGCAAGACCUCGCGCGAUUGGAGCGGCCGAUAUCAGAUUAGGUAGUUGGUGAGGUAAAGGCUCACCAAGCCGACGAUCUGUAGCUGGUCUGAGAGGACGACCAGCCACACUGGGACUGAGACACGGCCCAGACUCCUACGGGAGGCAGCAGUGGGGAAUUUUGGACAAUGGGCGCAAGCCUGAUCCAGCAAUGCCGCGUGCAGGAUGAAGGCCUU
Molecule: ribosomal RNA, 388 nt
Filed under: uncultured bacterium
Lineage: Bacteria
Description: bacterial SSU rRNA
Rfam family: Bacterial small subunit ribosomal RNA
Source: RNAcentral